UGAGGACAAAACACGUUGAAAAGU
This 24-nucleotide microRNA is filed under the name Glycine max (soybean). RNAcentral's name for it is "gma-miR10428". Lineage: Eukaryota; Viridiplantae; Streptophyta; Magnoliopsida; Fabales; Fabaceae. The record is from miRBase by way of RNAcentral.